Molecule: long non-coding RNA, 2451 nt
Organism: Vespa velutina
Lineage: Eukaryota; Metazoa; Arthropoda; Insecta; Hymenoptera; Vespidae
Exons: 3
Source: RefSeq, a predicted model, not a curated record
UCCUCUUGGAAAUAAAUGAAACGUCAAAACAUCCUAUCAAGACAAGACAUUAGACGAUCAUAGUACGUCGUAUGCAUUUUCUAAUCCGUAUUUUUGCCGGAUAGAGGAUCGCCGAUUCACUGUCGUCAUUUUCAGGCGCAUGAGAAAUUACCUAUCGCUCUGCUUUCUGUAUUCGCGUUUCGAACUUUUAAUUAUCCGUUCCUCUGUAUGGAGAUAGGCGCGCGAACAGAGAUGAAAAGCCUGUCCGAGAUAAUCAUUGCUUAGAUUAGUUCGAGCCAGCGUACCUCGCAUGCUGCAGGUACUCACACACAAACACAAACACAAAUAAGCGUGCGCACACAUACACACAUACAUAUAUAUUUGAUACGAGCACUAGCACGUAAGAUAUUGUUCUCCCAAUGAAAUUAAUAGUGGGAGUAAGCUCCGGCACAUAACAUUAAUCCUCGCGGUAUUAGUGACACGUUGAAGAGCUGAGCCCAGAUCCUACGGAGGGAGACAACGGAAGAGUGGAUGGAGAAUCGAGAAGCGAACGAAGGAGAGACAGAAAGAGAAAGAGAAAGAGAAACAGAAACAGAGAGAGAGAGAGAGAGAGAGAGAGAGAGAGAGAGAGAACUGAUGAAAGAAAAAGAUAAAAGAUCUCUUAAGACAUUGAAACGAGAGGUAGCGAAUCAUUUCGAAAAGCUGGUAAGAUAGAUUCUUGAGAAAGCGUACGUUUGUCUGAUUAGAUGGUUCCAUCAAUGACGUUCUAAGACAAGUGUUCAAUGUUAAAAAUCAUUAUCAAAGGUGAUGGUCAUUGAUAACGAUGAUGACAACAAUGGCAAUGACAAAAGUUCGUGAUAUUAAAAUCAAAUAUUUUCAUUUUUUACUCGAUUUCGAUUUUUAUCGAUUUCGAUUUCGAUCAAACUUUGCUGAUCGAUCAGAGAAAUAUUGGAGAUAAGUAAUUGAAGUAUUUAAGAUUAUUUAAAUAGAUCAAAUCGACAAUGCACGACAAGAUGUUUUUCAAUCUCGCGAAAAGGACGUGAAGGUUCGGUGAAUUCACUCCAGAAGCGAAGUAAAAGGGUCUUCGAAGUACGAGUAAGAGAGAGAGAGAGAGAGAGAGAAAGAGAGAGAGAAAGAGAGAGAGAGAGAGAGAGAGAACGAGUGGGACGAAUCUUCCCUUCGUGGACAUUUCGAAGAGUCUCCUUGAGGAACCACCCACUCUCCACUCCUCUCCUCUUUUCGUCAUCCUACUCCUACUUCUUCAUCCCCUUCCGUUUCAGCUACUAUACGGAGUGUAAUAUCCUGCUAUCCAAGAACCUUAUGACGAUUUAAACCUUGCCGAGCAAGUGUUUCAUAUUUCCUAUUAUUCUCUAUUUCUAUAUUUCUAUUUUAAACUAUUCGAAAUAUAUUCUGUUCGAUAUAUGUUCUCAAUCCUUCAAUGUCUUUCAUAUUUUUGUUAAAUUUUCCUUUCCUCCCCCCUCUCCCCAAUGACAAUUCUUCAUACUUGUUUAGUUAAAGAAAUAUUGAAACUUUGAUACCAGCAUCAUGAGAAGGCUUAUGAAUGAAAUCGUUAAACUACUGGCUAGUAGUACCAGGAGAACGUGAGUGAGAGAAAGAAAGAGAGGGAAAGAGCGAGAGAGAGAGAGAGAGAGAGAGAGAGAGAGAAAGAGAGAGGAAGAGAGAUAGAGAGAGGACUAUAGCAGAUGGGGACAGAGUUGGAGAGGGGCGAUCAAUAAUAUAAUACCUCGUCGCCCCGGGUACCACCAUGCUAUCGCACCAUCAAACAUCAUGCCUCCAUAUAUCCAAUCCUGCCUGCCUACCGACCUUUUCAUCCACACCUAUCCCUAUUGAAUAUCUUUUUCUGAAUACAUACCGAGGCGCUAAGUACGUGUGAACGUGUUAGCCGGUAGUGCGUUGAUCAAUGCCCUCAUGAACUCGAAUCGAUCGGCUAGAUCGCGAAAUGAGAUCUAUCUGUUGAAAGGAUAAGUGUCGUAAGUUAAGCAAAGUCUAAACUGAUUCGUUAGAUCGUUUAAAUUAUUGUAUUAUCAUUAUUAUUAUUAUUAUUAUUCCAUGUAUUAAUGAUGAACAUUUUCUAUCGAUGAUUAGAUAUAUUCAUAGUGAAAUGAAAUUUAUUUUAAUAUUUCUAUAGUAUAAAUCAAUUUGAUCAAUGGCCCUAGAAUAAUUUUAAUUAGAACUAAUGAUUACGAUAUAACAAUAUAAGAAACAAUUAUAGAUUUAUGAUAAGAUAUGCUGUAAUAUGUUGUAAUAUAAUUGAUUAUGUUUAAAAAUGCAGAAAACUACUUUUAUCAUUUUAAUACUUUUAUAAUUAUGCUGCCAUCUCUGAGAGAAAUUUCAUUAGUCACUGUAGAUAAAGUAGAAAUUAUUGAAUUAUCGACGUACAGAUUUCUACUAUACCGUCAGAUCAUGAUAGUUGCUUGACUAGAGAGUUCAAGAUAAUUCCGGUAGUACUAA